RNAcentral lists this long non-coding RNA (857 nucleotides) under Homo sapiens (human). RNAcentral's name for it is "HSALNT0253258". Lineage: Eukaryota; Metazoa; Chordata; Mammalia; Primates; Hominidae. The record is from RNAcentral.
AAUCACGCUCCUGAAUAUAAAUAAACCAGCAGGAAGGAAGUAAAAGUAACACUUUUCAGUCCAACUGAAGAAAGAUUUGGAGAGAUAAGUGAUGCAGACAAAAUUCUUUGAGGAGAAAGCCUGUAAGCUUGUGAUUGAAUGGACAGACAGUUGACACCCACAGGCUCCCAAAAUCCAGCUACUGCUGAAAUUAUCCAUAUGUUCUUUAAGAUCUCAGUGAUGGAGAAAGAAAACACAGCCCCAGUGAUUUUCUUACUCAACUAAAAUAUUGACGACAUCUUUUUUCAGGUCAUGGUUCUGGCAUCGGGGACAAAAUUAUUACAUAUUCAUGAAGAAGGGGAGUAAUAAGACCUUCUGAAGUGUGUGCUGGUCAGAGGAGUGACUCAGUAAUGAGGAUUAUUAAUCACAAUUGGGUUCUUUUCUCCUCCCUCCCCAGAGCUGGAAAUGUGUUUCCCACUAGAACCAAAUUCCAUAGUCUUCAUCAACAAUCACCCAUUUCCUUGAUGUUCAUGCUGAUGUGUGAGCCAGUCCCUCCCUGCACUCAGCCUGGUCCAGGUCAGGAUCUAACCUCUUCACGAUGUGUGCAGUCCUGGUGGAUCUCACUAGUCAGUUGCCCUGCCCACCCAUCCCUCAAGAGCAAGCCAUGGGACCCAAGCGAGGCCAAUGGAACCCUCUCCUAGUGGGUUGGAUCUUGAACAAAAUGUGCAAGGAUUUAAAAAAAUGGCUGGGCCUCAUUUGUUUUAAUAGUAGUUUCUUAAUCCAGUCUAUCAUUGUUGGACAUUUGGGUUGGUUCCAAGUCUUUGCUAUUGUAAGUAGUGUCACAAUAAACAUACAUGUGCAUGUGUCUUUAUAGCAGC